UGGGGGAUAUUGCACAAUGGGGGAAACCCUGAUGCAGCAACGCCGCGUGAGGGAAGAAGGUUUUCGGAUUGUAAACCUCUGUCCUUGGUGAAGAUAAUGACGGUAGCCAAGGAGGAAGCUCCGGCUAACUACGUGCCAGCAGCCGCGGUAAUACGUAGGGAGCAAGCGUUGUCCGGAUUUACUGGGUGUAAAGGGUGCGUAGGCGGCUAUGCAAGUCAGGCGUGAAAACUAUGGGCUUAACCCAUAGCCUGCGUUUGAAACUGCGUAGCUUGAGUGAAGUAGAGGCAGAUGGAAUUCCCGGUGUAGCGGUGGAAUGCGUAGAGAUCGGAAGGAACACCAGUGGCGAAGGCGGUCUGCUGGGCUUUAACUGACGC
RNAcentral lists this ribosomal RNA (374 nucleotides) under uncultured Clostridium sp. RNAcentral's name for it is "bacterial SSU rRNA". It matches the Rfam family "Bacterial small subunit ribosomal RNA", at positions 355 to 746 of the family's 1533-position model. The record is from RNAcentral. Lineage: Bacteria; Bacillati; Bacillota; Clostridia; Eubacteriales; Clostridiaceae.